GGGCGCAUAGCUCAACGGUAGAGCACUUGCUUUACACGCAAGGGGUUCUAGGUUCGAAUCCUAGUGCGCCCA
This 72-nucleotide transfer RNA is filed under the name bacterium. RNAcentral's name for it is "tRNA-Val". It matches the Rfam family "tRNA". Rfam says of the family: Transfer RNA (tRNA) molecules are approximately 80 nucleotides in length. Their secondary structure includes four short double-helical elements and three loops (D, anti-codon, and T loops). The record is from RNAcentral.